ACCUACGGGGGGCAGCAGUGGGGAAUCUUCCGCAAUGGGCGAAAGCCUGACGGAGCAACGCCGCGUGAGUGAAGAAGGCCUUCGGGUUGUAAAACUCUGUCUUCAGGGAAGAACAAAAUGACGGUACCUGAGGAGGAAGCCACGGCUAACUACGUGCCAGCAGCCGCGGUAAUACGUAGGUGGCAAGCGUUGUCCGGAAUUACUGGGCGUAAAGGGCGCGUAGGCGGGUAAUUAAGUCAGAUGUGUAAACUCUGGGCUCAACUUGGAGAUUGCAUCUGAUACUGGAUAUCUUGAGUGCAGGAGAGGACAGUGGAAUUCCUAGUGUAGCGGUGAAAUGCGUAGAUAUUAGGAGGAACACCAGUGGCGAAGGCGGCUGUCUGGACUGUAACUGACGCUGAGGCGCGAAAGCGUGGGGAGCAAACAGGAUUAGAUACCCCAGUAGUCC
RNAcentral lists this ribosomal RNA (445 nucleotides) under uncultured bacterium. RNAcentral describes it as "bacterial SSU rRNA". It matches the Rfam family "Bacterial small subunit ribosomal RNA", at positions 337 to 796 of the family's 1533-position model. The record is from RNAcentral.